CACCUGAUAGCACAUAGUGUGCACCUGCCUUUCCUGAUUGUCUGCACAAACCUAUGUAGGCAGGAGGUCCCCGUUCGAUUCGGGGUCGGGUGA
Non-coding RNA from Mycena alexandri, 93 nucleotides. The record is from the annotation of a GenBank genome assembly. Lineage: Eukaryota; Fungi; Basidiomycota; Agaricomycetes; Agaricales; Mycenaceae.